GCGCGGACGAUAUAUUAAAUCAAAUAUGAAAGUAAAAUCCAGCAUCAAAAUCAAUAGGCCCAGCCCCAGAAUUCGUGCUAGAACUUUUAGAAGCAGACGACGAGUACACUGCAGUGCCAUAAUCAGAACUCAUGCUAGUUUCAGGCGAUACGAAUGACCUUAAAUCCUUCCCCAUAUUGAGUUCUACAUAUGGAUCAUUGCCUAUUGGACCAACUGAAUCCUCUUCUGCAGAUUCUUGAUUUGAGCCGAGGAAAUGUUGAUUGUUGUUACCAGAAAUCUUGGAAUUUGCAGUGGCUAUAUAAGAUGCACAAGGAUCAGAGUCGUUAAUGUUCAGAGGAAAUCUUUGAAUAGGACCAACCUUGGGUCCCUUAAAAGGUAGAAAAUCAGAAUCUCUGGUGUUGCUCUCAAUCUUAGGUCGAAUAAUCUUGGGUUUGGGUAACUUAAAACUGAGAAGAAUAUCAGAAUCUGUGGUGUUCCUCUCAAUCCUAGGUCGCUCAAAGCUGAGCAGAAUGCCACCCUCCUCAUCCUCCUCACGAGGACCAGGAUAUGUUGAGAUGAUUUCUUCAUCCUUAAGAAUAUUUCUGCAGGUGUGAUGGCCAAAAUAAGUGAUGCGAUACUUCGGUGAAACUGUUGCAAGUCUCUGAACUUGUUUUGUUGCCACGCAGCCUUGAUCGCACUUGNUGCACCUAAAGUAAUUCCUUGGGUAUAGACAAUUCAAGAUUAUUUUUUCCCCAUAUUUUCUCCAUGAAUAGCCAUCAUCUGUUAGGAAAGAUGACUCUUUCGUCCAUGACGGGCGAUUCAUCUUUUUU
This 809-nucleotide unclassified non-coding RNA is filed under the name Hevea brasiliensis (rubber tree). Lineage: Eukaryota; Viridiplantae; Streptophyta; Magnoliopsida; Malpighiales; Euphorbiaceae. The record is from RNAcentral.